Molecule: unclassified non-coding RNA, 184 nt
Filed under: soil metagenome
Description: partial internal transcribed spacer 1
Source: RNAcentral
CUGAGUAAUUGGGUCUCUAAGGCCCAUACUCCCACCCUUUGUGUACCUUACCAAAGUUUUCCAAGUUGCCUUGGUAGGAAAAACCUACUUCUCACCCUUUUAUUAGGAGGUUGUAGGCCUACCAGGGGGACUCUUUUAAACUCUUUAUCAAUUGAGUCGUCUGAGAAAUAAAUUCAAAUGAAUU